UGUAUAAUGACCUGAAUCCACCAAUUGUACAGAAUAGUUUCACUGUCCCAAAUCCUCUGUUCCACCUAUUUAUUGUUCCUUCUCCCCAACCCCUAACAUCCACUGAUAUUUCUACUGUCUCCAUGACUUUUCCUUUUUCCAGAAAAUAGUUGGAAUCAUACAGCCUUUUCAUAUUGGUUUAAUUCACUUAGUAAUAUACUUUUAAGCUUCCUCCAUGUCUUUUUAUUUCUUUCAUCACUAAAUUAUAUUCCAUUGUCUAGGCAUAACAGUUUAUUUGUCUGUUCAUUUACUGAAGAACGUCUUGAUUGCCUCCAAGUAUUGGCAAUUGGGAAUUAAGUUGCUACAUCCAUGUGUAAAUACAAUAUAAGUUUUUGACUCAUUUUGGUAAAUAUCCAGGGGCAUAGUUGCUGAAUCAUAUUGUAAGGAUAUGUUUAGGCUUAUAGGAAACCACCUAACUAUCUUCUAAAGAGGCUGUACCAUUUUGCAAUUCCACUAGCAAUGAAUGUGAAUUCCUGUUGUUCCACAUCCUUUCAGCAUUUUGUGGUGUCAGUGUUUUGUACUUUUAGCCAUUCUAAAAGGUAUGGAAAUGUAUCUACUUGGUGUUUCACUUUGAAAUUCCCUAAUGACAUAUAAUAGUGAGAAUAUUUUCAUAUGAUAUUUGCCUUAUGUCUUUCUUCUUUGGCGAGAUGUCUUUUCAGUUCUUUUGCCCAUUUUCAAAUCAGGUUGUUAAUUUUCUUACUUUUAAGUUUUAAGAAUUCUUUGUCUAUUUUGAAUAUCAAUUAUUUAUCAUAUAUAUCUUUUGCAAAUAUCUAUCAAAGUCUCUGGCUUGUCACAUUCUCUUCUCUUGACAUCAUCUCAUUUUCUUUCUUUUUUUUUUCCAUGUGAGAAAUUAUGUGUAUUUGUGCAAGAUUCAUAUUAUUGAUCUUUCCCAGGAUUAUUUUAGUAAUAAUAAGAAGUUACUAGAAUUUUUUUACAGGUUGAUUGAAGAAAUCAUAUAUUUUUUUAAAAGGAAAAUAAAAUUUCAUGUGUAAUACAAAUGUUCAGAAGUAAAUUUUGUUCCAUUUUGGUACAUACUUUUUUUUCUUUUUCUUUUUUUUAUAUAUAUUUUUUUAUUUCCCCAAUACAUUAUUUUUUUCCUACUGUACAGCAUGGUGACUCAGUUACACAUACAUAUGUACAUUCUUUUUUCUCACAUUAUCCUGCUCCAUCCAAAGUGACUAGAAUAGUUCCCAGUGCUACACAGCAGGAUCUCAUUUUCUUGACAUUGUUGCAGAGCAGAAAAUUUCAGUUCUAAUGAAGUCCAUCUUAUCAGUUAUUUCUUUUAUAAACAUACCUUAGGGGUGAUAUCUAAAAAGUAAUUUCCAUGACCAAGGUUAUCUAGAUUUUCUCCUGUUAUCUUCUAGAAGUUUCAUAGUUUUGCCAUAAAUUUAAACUGGUGAUCCAUUUUGAGUUAAUUUUUGUAAAGCGUGUGUUAUGGAGUGAAUUAUAUCUUUACAAAACAUAUAGAUUGAAACCCUAACCCCCAAAGUGGCUAUAUUUAGGUAGAGGGUCUACAAAGAGGUAAUUAAGGUUAAAUGAAAUCAUAAAGGCAAGAACCUAAUCCAAGAGAAAUAGUGCCCUUAUAAGAAAUGUGCACUCAAAGAAAAAAGACCAUGCAAAAACACAGCCAGAAGGCAGUGCUCGGCAAGGAAAGGAGAGAUGCCCUCAGAGAACUUAAAUCUGUCAACACCUUGACCUUGGACUUGCAGCCACUCCGCCCACAUAAUUCAGUUAUGACAAUCCCAUUGAUUAAAAUAAAUGUAAAGUCUGUGUCUAGAUUCAUUUUUUCCUGCACUGUGUUCCAGUACCAGUUUUGAAAAGACUAAAUCUUCUUCAUUGCAUUGCCAUCAAUUCUUUGGCAAAGAGCAGUUGGUCUUUAUUUGUAGUUUCUCUCAUCUGUUUCAUUGAUCUAUAUGUGUGUUCUUUUACCAAUACCACACUGUCUUGAAUACUAUAACUUUAUAGGAAGUCAAAUAGUGUCAGUCCUCUUUCAAUAUUGUGUCGUCUAUUCUUUUACCUCCCAUGUAAGAGGUGUUUUAUCUCUCCAUAUACGCUUUGAAUCAAAGAGUUUAUCAAUAUCUACAAAUUCCUUGCUAGGACUUUGGUUGAGAUUGCAUUGAAUCUCUUAAUUAUCUUGGGAAGAGUUGACAUCUUGUCAAUAAUUGAGUCUUCUUAACAACUAUGUAUUAUCUCAUUUAUUUAGUUUUCCUUUGAUUUCUUCCAUCAGAGUUAUAUAUUGAGCACAUUGUGUCAUAUUUAUUCAUAAACAUUUUGGAGGUGCUAAUAUAAAUGAUAUUGUAUUUUUAUUUCAAAUUCCACUUGUUCAUUGGUGGUAUACAGGAAAGCAAUUGACUCUACGUUAACCUGGUGUCUUACAACCUUGUUAUGCUUGCUUGUUAGUCAAAGCUUUUUUUGUUGUUGAUUUGUUUGGAUUUUCUAUGUAGAGAAUUAUGUCAUUUGCAAAAAAUAUAUAGUUUUAUUUCUUUUCUUCCAAUCGGUAUACCUUUUAUUUCUUUUUCCUAUUACUUUAGCUAGGACUUCUAGUAAGACGUUAAAAAGGUGUGCUCAGUGAAGGCAUCCUUUCCUUAUUCCUGACCUUAGCAGGAAAACUUCUAGGUUCUUACCAUAUGUUAAUUUUUUAUAAUGAUUUUAUGUGUGAGAAUCAUAAUCAGACAUAGAAAAUACUUAAAACUGAGUUCAUUGCUUGUGUUUCAGGGGCCUAUAUUCAGUCAUAGAUUUCUACAUCUUCCUACCUGUCACACAUCUAGAAAGAAAUACCUAUGUCUUAGAAGGGGCUUUUUCCUAACCCAAAAAGGUGUAUUCCACAGUGGGAUAUGUCAUAUAUUCUUUACCACUUAGUGUUACAAAUUUACCACUUAGUGUUACAAAUUUAGGGCUUUAAAAAUCUGAUCAUUGUAUUUAUAUUUUAUUUAAACUCUCCCUUUAGUCCUAUUCAUUCUUCAACUAGGAAGAUAAAACACACAGUCCACUAAUACCCACCCCUCUUAAUUCUGCCUUUCUUAAAAUGUAAAGCAACAUGACAUUAAAUUGCAAAUUCACAAUUAAAACUCUGAUUUAAUGUGUCUUCUUGUAGACAAAUGGAUGAUUUGGUUGAAAAGUAACAAAACUAUUUUAGUAUUAUACCUUUGAAAAGGUACUUUAAGAUUAGGCAACAGCAAACAAGUGAGAGCAAGAUAGAAAAUAUAUUUUUGUUCAAACCCCAAGAAAGCAAAAAUAAUCUAAAAUUUAUUAAUUAUUGUUGAGUUCCAAAAAUUAUGUUCAGCAUUUAAUCUCAAUUUGUUAUAUGCUGGUCACAAUUUGGAAGCUGCAUUUUGCAUUACUCAUAGCCAUAAAGGGAUUGAUCAUGUAUCCAAUCUGUGGUAACUAAAAGUCUGUGAUAAAUGUUACAAGACAUUUUACUUUUUUAAAGUACAAUUAAUGAUGUUCCUACAUAGCAACUUGGUUGCAUUACUGGAAGUCAUCCAAGAGAUUUUAUACUAAUACAGCUCAAGUAAAUAUACUAUAUUAGAAAUGUAGCAAUUUUUUUUCAUAUCUCUAAUUUGGUUGAUUAUAUGAGCAAAAGAAAGUAUGCAGAAGAUGCAAAAUGUUGAGUAUAGUCUCCAGUUUUCAUUUUAGGAAAAAAGUACCUAUAAAAAUUAGUAUUUUUAUUUUAUUUUAUCCCAUUUUUCAAGUAUGAUUUUAAACCUUUUUAAUCUUUUAAAGAAUGUUAUUUAUCUCUGAUUUGUGCAUGUGUUAGGAAAACUCAAAAAAGUAGCCCCACAAUGGUUAAAAUAUUCAAGAUAUUAUUUGUUUAAAUGUUUCCUUGUGUUCAUUAAACUUUACUGCAUAGUGUAACCUUGAGCACUGCCAGCAUUUGAUUGCUUAGAAUUCCAAAUCUGAUCUGUAAAAUCACCUCCAGUGUAUGACUGGGUUUACUAUGUAAUCUUUCUUUUCAAAUAUGCCAUUAUUGUAGGCUUCCACCUAAACCUUAAGAAUACUGUUAUUAACUUGCUUUUAAAUUCCUCAAUAAAGCAACAUUUAGGAUGUACAUAAGAAACACUGAAUUUUUAUUAAACAGCCCUAGAGGAAAGAAAGGUUAUUUUAAGCCACAUCAACAGUAUAGUUCUACACUUCUUUUCAAUUAGCAUUGGAUUGCCGACAUCCUUAAGUACUGGCACCAUGUACAAGUAUGCUUAUUAAUAGAUUUUUCUUUUUCUACCCUUUAACCAAUAUCAUAGGAUUCUUUUAAAAACAUGUCCUAGAUUUUUCAAGGUAAAUGAUAACCUUCACCUCUCCUUUUCCUCCCACUCCCUUUUUCGUCAUUCCCUCAUCUCCCUCCUUACCCUUAAACCCCCUGUUUUCUAAGGAUAUGAAAGAGAGAGAGAUCAUAGAUAGAUGAUGGAUGGAUGGAUAGAUAGAUAGAUAGAUAAAUAGAUAGAUAGAUAGAUAGAUAGAUAGAAUGAACCACAAAAAGACACAUGCUAGGGCCAUGUUAAUGGUGAUACAGAAAGAGAACAGAUUUGAGAACAUUUAAAUUAAAAACCUAAAGAACUGGAUCAUUGUCAUGGAGGUGAGCAAACGCAAGAAAAAGAUAUAUAAUAUAGAAUAAUUAUCAGGUUCAAAUAAAUAUGGUUAAUUACAGCUAAGUUUUACUUAAGGCUUAGUAUGUGCCAAAUACUUGCUAAAUUAUUUUUCAUAUGGUGUUCCAUUUAACUUUUUAGAUAAACUUUUUAGAGAAAAGGAAACUAAAUCCAGGAGUGUUAAGAAACCUGCCCAAGGCCAUAUCUGUAAACAUGGUAAAUGGGGAUUUACAGCCAAACAUUCUGAUGCCAGAGAUCACAUUGUUAAUGAAAAUCACCUUUCCUUUUGGCAUGCUGAUUUUGAGACGCUUGUGUGCAUCUAGGUGGAAAUGGCCAGCAAUAUGUCGCAUAUGGGAUUCUGAAAUUCAGGAGAAAUGGGAUUUUCCAUUUGGUAGACUUCCCUGGGGAGCAAAACCAUGUUUAAAACAGUGAUCCACCACAGAUAGAAUGCUAGGAAAUCACGAGAUUUAUAGGAAGGGCUGAAGAGAGAAUAAUCAUGAGAUAGAGAAAUAACACUCACAGGCGGGGAAAAGGAAUCAGAGGAUGCAGAGUAACCAUGUCAAAGGUAGUAGAUAGUUUCACCAAUAUCAAUGCAUAUAGCAGCACACAUCAUAUAGCAGAAAAGUCAGUUGUGAGAAAAGAGUGUCAUGUCCAUUGGGUAGACUAUAGAGGGUCGUUUCCAGGAUGCAAGAGCAGUUCUAGUAAAGGGCUAAGGAAAGAUGAGAUUGCAGUGCAUGGGGAAGAGGUUGGCAGGGAAGAACUGUGGAGUUUAUUGGGCUAAAAUUAUAAGGAUGCCCAGCAGAUGCCUUUACAUGUAAUGUUUUCACCAUAAGAAUUAUUAUAUUUAUCCAUAUUCCUUUUUGCAGUGAAGCCUGUGCCUAGAGUAGCAUACAGAAAUUUCAUGCAGAGAUGCUGCUAGAAAUAACCUAAACUGUAACCUCUAACUCUUUAGCAGUGGGGGUAGAUUUUAAUGGAACAAUAUUUCGAAGAUUUUUCAUGUAAGCCACAGAAUAAGCAAGAUAUAUAUUUCAGUCCACCGAAAGAGGUUCAUUUGGUAAAGCAAAAAUGCCGCAAUCUUUUAAAACUGAUACUUUUUCUAAAACUGAAAACUUCACACAUUUUGCAUUUCAUUUGCUAACUUUCGCAGCAGGCCUCCCAAAACCCAACUUCCUACUGAAGUGUGUUUCCAAGCAAUUUAAUUUGGAAAUUGAGAGUUGUCCUGACCUUUUCAUGGGUUUUAACUCUGUGUCCCAAAAGACUUCAGAGACAACACUCGACAGGUGACCAAACAUACCAGAAUAAUAGGAUUCCUAUUUUUAGAUAGUAUUUUUUAUACAAAAAAGAUUAUUCAAUCAGUUUUCUUUUAAAAGGCCUUCUAGAGAAGCAGUUUUUACAUUUGAGUUUGCAUGACAUUUACCACUUUGUGUGUUCCAUUAAGUAUCAUUACCAGGCCUUUUACAUCUAGCAAUGUAUGGCUCUCACACACACAAAAAAUCCCUUUGUUUCUGGGCUCAAGACUCCUCACCAAGAAUCACAAAACUGUAGAAAGAUAGCACUGUAAGAUCAUCUGUGCUGCAGAAAACUUAGCCCUUCUCAGAGGUUUGCUGAGACUCCACUCAGAAUGACAAGUUUUAUCAGAGAGGAAAGAUUUGAACUGGAUAACACUACACAUCCCUUUCAUUCAUUUUAUUUAUUCAAGUUUCUGGCAACCCAUUUUUUUUUAAGAGAAAAUAGCCUUAUUUUAUAAGUGGUUAAAAAUGUAGGUUUGGAUCACUAGCCUAAUUUUAUAGUUAAAGGAAACCAAGGCUUAAUUAUGCAAGAGGAUUUGCCCAACGGUACAUCAUCUAUUAGUGGCAGAAUGGGUUAAUGCCAGUUCUUUGGGCUGCAAACUAAAAAAAAAAAAAAA
This 6525-nucleotide long non-coding RNA is filed under the name Sus scrofa (pig). RNAcentral describes it as "lncRNA (ENSSSCG00030041889.1)". The record is from RNAcentral. Lineage: Eukaryota; Metazoa; Chordata; Mammalia; Artiodactyla; Suidae.